CCUACGGGUGGCUGCAGUGGGGAAUAUUGGACAAUGGGGGCAACCCUGAUCCAGCCAUGCCGCGUGUGUGAAGAAGGCCCUCGGGUUGUAAAGCACUUUCAGUGAGGAAGAACGCCUGGUGGUUAAUACCCAUCAGGAAAGACAUCACUCACAGAAGAAGCACCGGCUAACUCCGUGCCAGCAGCCGCGGUAAUACGGAGGGUGCGAGCGUUAAUCGGAAUUACUGGGCGUAAAGCGCGCGUAGGUGGCUUGAUAAGCCGGUUGUGAAAGCCCCGGGCUCAACCUGGGAACGGCAUUCGGAACUGUCAAGCUAGAGUGCAGGAGAGGAAGGUAGAAUUCCCGGUGUAGCGGUGAAAUGCGUAGAGAUCGGGAGGAAUACCAGUGGCGAAGGCGGCCUUCUGGACUGACACUGACACUGAGGUGCGAAAGCGUGGGUAGCAAACAGGAUUAGAUACCCUGGUAGUC
This 465-nucleotide ribosomal RNA is filed under the name Vreelandella stevensii. RNAcentral describes it as "partial 16S ribosomal RNA". It matches the Rfam family "Bacterial small subunit ribosomal RNA", at positions 338 to 795 of the family's 1533-position model. Lineage: Bacteria; Pseudomonadati; Pseudomonadota; Gammaproteobacteria; Oceanospirillales; Halomonadaceae. The record is from RNAcentral.